AUUGAACGCUGGCGGCAUGCCUUACACAUGCAAGUCGAACGGUAACAGGUCUUCGGAUGCUGACGAGUGGCGAACGGGUGAGUAAUACAUCGGAACGUGCCUAGUAGUGGGGGAUAACUACUCGAAAGAGUGGCUAAUACCGCAUGAGAUCUACGGAUGAAAGCAGGGGAUCGCAAGACCUUGUGCUACUAGCGCGGCCGAUGGCAGAUUAGGUAGUUGGUGGAUAAAAGCUUACCAAGCCGACGAUCUGUAGCUGGUCUGAGAGGACGAUCAGCCACACUGGGACUGAGACACGGCCCAGACUCCUACGGGAGGCAGCAGUGGGGAAUUUUGGACAAUGGGCGCAAGCCUGAUCCAGCAAUGCCGCGUGCAGGAUGAAGGCCUUCGGGUUGUAAACUGCUUUUGUACGGAACGAAAAGCCCCGGGUUAAUACCCUGGGGUCAUGACGGUACCGUAAGAAUAAGCACCGGCUAACUACGUGCCAGCAGCCGCAGUAA
Molecule: ribosomal RNA, 497 nt
Filed under: uncultured bacterium
Lineage: Bacteria
Description: partial 16S ribosomal RNA
Rfam family: Bacterial small subunit ribosomal RNA
Source: RNAcentral